AAUGACAUUAAGAUUCGAUUUGAAUGUUCAAAAUAUGAUCCUAAAAUAGCAAAAAUUACAAUAGAAAGGUGCGGAGUCCAUGUAUCAUGCAUUUGUCCUCCUUGCAACUUCGCAGCAAAUGAGGAUGCUGACUUCAACCCAUGUCCACCAUUGAACAAAAUGAGAACCUCUUGAUUGAACUUCAAACAAAUAUGCCAAGUUGUGGUGAUGAAAAUUCUUUAGGAGGCAUGAGAGGAAGCACAUCAAGUAUUUG
This is a long non-coding RNA of Quercus lobata, 253 nucleotides long. RefSeq lists it as uncharacterized. The transcript has 2 exons. The record is from RefSeq and is a predicted model, not a curated record. NCBI's taxonomy places the organism in Eukaryota, Viridiplantae, Streptophyta, Magnoliopsida, Fagales, Fagaceae.